GUCCACGCCCUAAACGAUGUCAACUAGGUGUUGGGUGGGUAAAACCAUUUAGUACCGGAGCUAACGCGUGAAGUUGACCGCAUGGGGAGUACGGCCGCAAGGUUAAAACUCAAAGGAAUUGACGGGGACCCGCACAAGCGGUGGAUGAUGUGGAUUAAUUCGAUGCAACGCGAAAAACCUUACCUACCCUUGACAUGUCAAGAAGCCUGAAGAGAUUUGGGUGUGCCCGAAAGGGAACUGGAACACAGGUGCUGCAUGGCUGUCGU
RNAcentral lists this ribosomal RNA (266 nucleotides) under uncultured bacterium. Its description in RNAcentral is "partial 16S ribosomal RNA". It matches the Rfam family "Bacterial small subunit ribosomal RNA", at positions 793 to 1055 of the family's 1533-position model. The record is from RNAcentral.